AGUGACCAUGGGUGAAGAAGACAGCACUAUGACAGAGAAGCGCCUGGGAAGGUCAGCCCUAAACACAGCUGUACUGUUACUCAAAGGUGUGCUCCCACCAAGGACUCUUCUACAAUCAAAUUGCUGGAAUACUGCGACCUCCAGAACUGACGGGAGGACAUGUAGCAGCGAGGAUCUAUUAAAUUACACACGGUUAAUUGUUGUGCAUCUAGCACAACCCCACUAGGCGAGAGGCUCUUUCUUCCUUGUUAAUUCAAAGACCGUCCCCCCCCUCCCUGGCCCUCCGGUCCUACACACGUGGCUCUGCUGUGUUUGACCUUCUAGUUUCUUAGAUCCGGGCAGGCUGUUCCGUCAGCGGUAUUUAACUGGCCAUUUGUUGGCAAUGCCAGAUAAAUAGAGAUCCAACAGAUCUGAGAAAUACCAGUGUGAAGCUAGUCUUACAUGGUAGUUACCUAUGGGUGGCUUUAGAAAGACCUCCUGGAGGAGAGAUAAUUUGCAUCCAU
This is a long non-coding RNA of Bufo gargarizans (Asiatic toad), 503 nucleotides long. RefSeq lists it as uncharacterized. Lineage: Eukaryota; Metazoa; Chordata; Amphibia; Anura; Bufonidae. The transcript is spliced from 3 exons. The record is from RefSeq and is a predicted model, not a curated record.